UGAGGGAUAUUGGUCAAUGGGCGCAAGCCUGAACCAGCGACGCCGCGUGGGUGAAGAAGGUCUUCGGAUCGUAAAGCCCUUUUCCCACUGAAGAGGAAGGACGGUAGGUGGGGAAGAAGUCUCGGCUAACUACGUGCCAGCAGCCGCGGUAAAACGUAGGAGACAAGCGUUAUCCGGAGUUACUGGGCGUAAAGGGCGUGCAGGUGGCGUCUUAAGUCAGUUGUGAAAGCGCCUGGCUUAACCGGGCGAGGCCAAUGGAGACUGAGAGGCUGGAGGACGGCGGAGGGGUGUGGAAUUCCGGGUGUAGUGGUGAAAUGCGUAGAGAUCCGGAGGAACACCAGAGGCGAAGGCGGCACUCUAAGCCGUACCUGACACUGAGACGCGACAGCACGGGGAGCAAA
RNAcentral lists this ribosomal RNA (401 nucleotides) under uncultured bacterium. RNAcentral's name for it is "bacterial SSU rRNA". It matches the Rfam family "Bacterial small subunit ribosomal RNA", at positions 355 to 772 of the family's 1533-position model. The record is from RNAcentral.